Molecule: long non-coding RNA, 544 nt
Organism: Oncorhynchus keta (chum salmon)
Lineage: Eukaryota; Metazoa; Chordata; Actinopteri; Salmoniformes; Salmonidae
Exons: 3
Source: RefSeq, a predicted model, not a curated record
AUUGAGUUUCAGCUGCCUGCCUCCUCAUUUAAACAGGAAAUUGUAUUGCAAAGUAAUAACACGAGAAAUCAAUGAAUUAAUUACUUUGCUUUUAUUCACAAUCAGAGAAAGAUCCCUUAUUGAAUGAAUCUGGAGGUCCCUAUUCAAAUCGGUGGCACGCACUAGUGCUUACUGCAAUAAUCAAUGUACAUGGGCAAGUUCAGCGGAAGGUCAACCUGAGAAAAAAUGGAAGUUUGCCAUUUCAAUGAAACCACGUUCCUAAUUAUCCUUAAGGGCUGAUGAGGCGUGAAGCCUGCCAGUUGUUGAAGAGCAUCUGCAGAGUCAGAGGCUGAUGGGCAUCUCAUUCAGCCAGGCUCCCGGGGGGGGGGACUCCCACAUCUGAGGACCUGCUCGUCUGUUUGCACAACGACCCCGCGUCCCCACGCUGUACCAGGGUCGUGCUACAUAUGCCACCUGCCCCCUGCAUAAGCAGCCCUGGCCCCCGCUGACACCCAUGGGGUUUGUGAUAUUACCUGCUUAGAGAGGGACCAAACAAUUUGGGACU